UUUAUGGGGUGACUGCGUACCUUUUGUAUAAUGGGUCAGCGACUUAUAUUCUGUAGCAAGGUUAACCGAAUAGGGGAGCCGAAGGGAAACCGAGUCUUAACUGGGCGUUAAGUUGCAGGGUAUAGACCCGAAACCCGGUGAUCUAGCCAUGGGCAGGUUGAAGGUUGGGUAACACUAACUGGAGGACCGAACCGACUAAUGUUGAAAAAUUAGCGGAUGACUUGUGGCUGGGGGGGAAAGGCCAAUCAAACCGGGAGAUAGCUGGUUCUCCCCGAAAGCUAUUUAGGUAGCGCCUCGUGAACUCAUCUCCGGGGGUAGAGCACUGUUUCGGCAAGGGGGUCAUCCCGACUUACCAACCCGAUGCAAACUGCGAAUACCGGAGAAUGUUAUCACGGGAGACACACGGCGGGGGCUAACGUCCGUCGUGAAGAGGGAAACAACCCAGACCGCCAGCUAAGGUCCCAAAGUCAUGGUUAAGUGGGAAACGAUGUGGGAAGGCCCAGACAGCCAGGAUGUUGGCUUAGAAGCAGCCAUCAUUUAAAGAAAGCGUAAUAGCUCACUGGUCGAGUCGGCCUGCGCGGAAGAUGUAACGGGGCUAAACCAUGCACCGAAGCUGCGGCAGCGACGCUUAUGCGUUGUUGGGUAGGGGAGCGUUCUGUAAGCCUGUGAAGGUGGCCUGUGAGGGUUGCUGGAGGUAUCAGAAGUGCGAAUGCUGACAUAAGUAACGAUAAAGCGGGUGAAAAGCCCGCUCGCCGGAAGACCAAGGGUUCCUGUCCAACGUUAAUCGGGGCAGGGUGAGUCGACCCCUAAGGCGAGGCCGAAAGGCGUAGUCGAUGGGAAACAGGUUAAUAUUCCUGUACUUGGUGUUACUGCGAAGGGGGGACGGAGAAGGCUAUGUUGGCCGGGCGACGGUUGUCCCGGUUUAAGCGUGUAGGCUGGUUUUCCAGGCAAAUCCGGAAAAUCAAGGCUGAGGCGUGAUGACGAGGCACUACGGUGCUGAAGCAACAAAUGCCCUGCUUCCAGGAAAAGCCUCUAAGCAUCAGGUAACAUCAAAUCGUACCCCAAACCGACACAGGUGGUCAGGUAGAGAAUACCAAGGCGCUUGAGAGAACUCGGGUGAAGGAACUAGGCAAAAUGGUGCCGUAACUUCGGGAGAAGGCACGCUGAUGCGUAGGUGAAGCGGUUUACCCGUGGAGCUGAAAUCAGUCGAAGAUACCAGCUGGCUGCAACUGUUUAUUAAAAACACAGCACUGUGCAAACACGAAAGUGGACGUAUACGGUGUGACGCCUGCCCGGUGCCGGAAGGUUAAUUGAUGGGGUCAGCCGCAAGGCGAAGCUCUUGAUCGAAGCCCCGGUAAACGGCGGCCGUAACUAUAACGGUCCUAAGGUAGCGAAAUUCCUUGUCGGGUAAGUUCCGACCUGCACGAAUGGCGUAAUGAUGGCCAGGCUGUCUCCACCCGAGACUCAGUGAAAUUGAACUCGCUGUGAAGAUGCAGUGUACCCGCGGCAAGACGGAAAGACCCCGUGAACCUUUACUAUAGCUUGACACUGAACAUUGAGCCUUGAUGUGUAGGAUAGGUGGGAGGCUUUGAAGCGUGGACGCCAGUCUGCGUGGAGCCGACCUUGAAAUACCACCCUUUAAUGUUUGAUGUUCUAACGUGGACCCGUGAUCCGGGUUGCGGACAGUGUCUGGUGGGUAGUUUGACUGGGGCGGUCUCCUCCUAAAGAGUAACGGAGGAGCACGAAGGUUGGCUAAUCCUGGUCGGACAUCAGGAGGUUAGUGCAAUGGCAUAAGCCAGCUUGACUGCGAGCGUGACGGCGCGAGCAGGUGCGAAAGCAGGUCAUAGUGAUCCGGUGGUUCUGAAUGGAAGGGCCAUCGCUCAACGGAUAAAAGGUACUCCGGGGAUAACAGGCUGAUACCGCCCAAGAGUUCAUAUCGACGGCGGUGUUUGGCACCUCGAUGUCGGCUCAUCACAUCCUGGGGCUGAAGUAGGUCCCAAGGGUAUGGCUGUUCGCCAUUUAAAGUGGUACGCGAGCUGGGUUUAGAACGUCGUGAGACAGUUCGGUCCCUAUCUGCCGUGGGCGCUGGAGAACUGAGGGGGGCUGCUCCUAGUACGAGAGGACCGGAGUGGACGCAUCACUGGUGUUCGGGUUGUCAUGCCAAUGGCACUGCCCGGUAGCUAAAUGCGGAAGAGAUAAGUGCUGAAAGCAUCUAAGCACGAAACUUGCCCCGAGAUGAGUUCUCCCUGACUCCUUGAGAGUCCUGAAGGAACGUUGAAGACGACGACGUUGAUAGGCCGGGUGUGUAAGCGCAGCGAUGCGUUGAGCUAACCGGUACUAAUGAACCGUGAGGCUUAACCUU
RNAcentral lists this ribosomal RNA (2362 nucleotides) under Escherichia sp. KTE114. RNAcentral describes it as "bacterial LSU rRNA". It matches the Rfam family "Bacterial large subunit ribosomal RNA", at positions 585 to 2925 of the family's 2925-position model. Lineage: Bacteria; Pseudomonadati; Pseudomonadota; Gammaproteobacteria; Enterobacterales; Enterobacteriaceae. The record is from RNAcentral.